GAUGAACGCUGGCGGCGUGCUUAACACAUGCAAGUCGAACGGAAAGGCCCAAGCUUGCUUGGGUACUCGAGUGGCGAACGGGUGAGUAACACGUGGGUGAUCUGCCCUGCACUUCGGGAUAAGCCUGGGAAACUGGGUCUAAUACCGGAUAGGACCACAUUUUGGAUGGUGUGGUGGAAAGUUUUUCGGUGUGGGAUGAGCUCGCGGCCUAUCAGCUUGUUGGUGGGGUAAUGGCCUACCAAGGCGUCGACGGGUAGCCGGCCUGAGAGGGUGUACGGCCACAUUGGGACUGAGAUACGGCCCAGACUCCUACGGGAGGCAGCAGUGGGGAAUAUUGCACAAUGGGCGCAAGCCUGAUGCAGCGACGCCGCGUGGGGGAUGACGGCCUUUGGGUUGUAAACUCCUUUCGCUAGGGACGAAGCGUUAUGUGACGGUACCUGGAGAAGAAGCACCGGCUAACUACGUG
This 466-nucleotide ribosomal RNA is filed under the name uncultured bacterium. RNAcentral describes it as "partial 16S ribosomal RNA". It matches the Rfam family "Bacterial small subunit ribosomal RNA", at positions 28 to 507 of the family's 1533-position model. The record is from RNAcentral.